This 837-nucleotide ribosomal RNA is filed under the name Pithecopus hypochondrialis (orange-legged leaf frog). Its description in RNAcentral is "Phyllomedusa hypochondrialis (orange-legged leaf frog) partial 12S ribosomal RNA". It matches the Rfam family "Bacterial small subunit ribosomal RNA". The record is from RNAcentral. Lineage: Eukaryota; Metazoa; Chordata; Amphibia; Anura; Hylidae.
AUUUACACAUGCAAGUCUCAGCACCCCCGUGAGAACGCCCUAAAACCCCCUGCUCGGGGCAAGGAGCUGGUAUCAGGCACAUAUCUAACCCAUGACACCUAGCUAUGCCACAUCCUCAAGGAAUUUCAGCAGUGAUCAAUAUUGAAAAUACGCGUCAGCAAGAUUCAGUUAAAGUACAGAGAGCCGGCAAAAUUGGUGCCAGCCGCCGCGGUUACACCAAUAGACUCAAAUUGAUUAUAUCGGCGUAAAGCGUGAUUAAAGUGUUCCCCCCCCCGAUUAAAGAUAGAACCCUCACUAAGCUGUGACACGCUUGUGCCUGAGAAAAUCAAAAACGUAAGUUAUCUUAAUUAACCCCACUUGAAUUCACGACAGUUGAGACACAAACUGGGAUUAGAUACCCCACUAUGCUUAACCGUAAACUUUUAAUUACAAUAUAAACGCCAGAGAACUACGAGCAAAGCUUAAAACUCAAAGGACUUGACGGUACCCCAUAUCCACCUAGAGGAGCCUGUCCUAUAAUCGAUAACCCCCGCUUUACCUCACCAUUUUUAGUCGUCAGCCUGUAUACCUCCGUCGUCAGCUUACCACGUGAGCGAACCACAGUGAGCCUAAUGUCUACACGUCAACACGUCAGGUCAAGGUGCAGUUAACAAAAUGUGGAAGAGAUGGGCUACACUCUCUAAUUUAGAAAACACGAAAAACUUUAUGAAACCUAGUUAGAAGGCGGAUUUAGCAGUAAAAAGAAACUAGAGAGUUCUUUUUAAUACGGCACUGGGGUGUGUACACACCGCGGGGAAACCCUCUUCAAAAUUUCAUUUUACAGUAUUUAACUAAUUC